This 309-nucleotide ribosomal RNA is filed under the name uncultured eukaryote. RNAcentral's name for it is "partial 18S ribosomal RNA". It matches the Rfam family "Eukaryotic small subunit ribosomal RNA", at positions 1470 to 1796 of the family's 1831-position model. The record is from RNAcentral.
CCCUUAGAUGUUCUGGGCCGCACGCGCGCUACAAUGAAAAAUUCAACAAGUUUUCCUGCUUUGAAGAAAGUGGGUAAUCAUUGCAAUCUUUUUCGUGCUGGGGAUAGACCUUUGUAAUUGUUGGUCUUGAACGAGGAAUUCCUAGUAAGUGCAAGUCAUUAACUUGUACUGAUUACGUCCCUGCCCUUUGUACACACCGCCCGUCGCACCUACCGAUUGAAUGGUCCGAUGAAAUCUUUGGACUGAGUCGCCGAGCGAUUCGGAAAAUCGAUUAAGUCUUACCAUUUAGAGGAAGGUGAAGUCGUAACA